UACAGAGGGCUCAAGCGUUGCUCGGAAUCAUUGGGCGUAAAGGGCGCGUAGGCGGCGCUGUAAGUCGGGUGUGAAAUUUCGGAGCUUAACUCCGAAACUGCAUUCGAUACUGCGGUGCUUGAGGACUGGAGAGGAGACUGGAAUUCAUGGUGUAGCAGUGAAAUGCGUAGAGAUCAUGAGGAAGACCAGUGGCGAAGGCGGGUCUCUGGACAGUUCCUGACGCUGAGGCACGAAGGCCAGGGGAGCAAACGGG
RNAcentral lists this ribosomal RNA (253 nucleotides) under uncultured bacterium. Its description in RNAcentral is "partial 16S ribosomal RNA". It matches the Rfam family "Bacterial small subunit ribosomal RNA", at positions 524 to 776 of the family's 1533-position model. The record is from RNAcentral.